AAAUUGAAGAGUUUGAUCAUGGCUCAGAUUGAACGCUGGCGGCAGGCCUAACACAUGCAAGUCGAACGGUAACAGAAAGCAGCUUGCUGCUUUGCUGACGAGUGGCGGACGGGUGAGUAAUGUCUGGGAAACUGCCUGGUGGAGGGGGAUAACUACUGGAAACGGUAGCUAAUACCGCAUAACGUCGCAAGACCAAAGAGGGGGACCUUAGGGCCUCUUGCCAUCGGAUGUGCCCAGAUGGGAUUAGCUAGUAGGUGGGGUAA
This 263-nucleotide ribosomal RNA is filed under the name Escherichia coli. RNAcentral describes it as "partial 16S ribosomal RNA". It matches the Rfam family "Bacterial small subunit ribosomal RNA", at positions 1 to 260 of the family's 1533-position model. Lineage: Bacteria; Pseudomonadati; Pseudomonadota; Gammaproteobacteria; Enterobacterales; Enterobacteriaceae. The record is from RNAcentral.